GGUCUGGGAUGGGCUCGCGGCCUAUCAGCUUGUUGGUGAGGUAAUGGCUCACCAAGGCGACGACGGGUAGCCGGCCUGAGAGGGCGACCGGCCACACUGGGACUGAGACACGGCCCAGACUCCUACGGGAGGCAGCAGUGGGGAAUAUUGCACAAUGGGCGCAAGCCUGAUGCAGCGACGCCGCGUGAGGGAUGACGGCCUUUGGGUUGUAAACCUCUUUCAGCAGGGAAGAAGCGCAAGUGACGGUACCUGCAGAAGAAGCACCGGCUAACUACGUGCCAGCAGCCGCGGUAAUACGUAGGGUGCGAGCGUUGUCCGGAAUUAUUGGGCGUAAAGAGCUUGUAGGCGGUCUGUCGCGUCUGCUGUGAAAAUCCGGGGCUCAACCCCGGACUUGCAGUGGGUACGGGCAGACUAGAGUGUGGUAGGGGAGACUGGAAUUCCUGGUGUAGCGGUGAAAUGCGCAGAUAUCAGGAGGAACACCGAUGGCGAAGGCAGGUCUCUGGGCCAUAACUGACGCUGAGAAGCGAAAGCAUGGGGAGCGAACAGGAUUAGAUACCCUGGUAGUCCAUGCCGUAAACGUUGGGAACUAGGUGUGGGUCUCAUUCCACGAGAUCCGUGCCGCAGCUAACGC
This 631-nucleotide ribosomal RNA is filed under the name Knoellia subterranea. RNAcentral describes it as "bacterial SSU rRNA". It matches the Rfam family "Bacterial small subunit ribosomal RNA", at positions 217 to 858 of the family's 1533-position model. Lineage: Bacteria; Bacillati; Actinomycetota; Actinomycetes; Micrococcales; Intrasporangiaceae. The record is from RNAcentral.